AUUGAACGCUGGCGGCAUGCCUUACACAUGCAAGUCGAACGGCAGCACGGGUGCUUGCACCUGGUGGCGAGUGGCGAACGGGUGAGUAAUACAUCGGAACCUGUCCUGUCGUGUGGGAUAGCCCGGCGAAAGCCGGAUUAAUACCGCAUACGAACAACGGAUGAAAGCGGGGGCCCUUCAGCUCCCGCGCUUUCGGGUUUGCCGAUGGCGGAUUAGGUAGUUGGUGGGGUAAAGGCCUACCAAGGCGACGAUCAGUAGCUGGUCUGAGAGGAUGACCAGCCACACUGGGACUGAGACACGGCCCAGACUCCUACGGGAGGCAGCAGUGGGGAAUUUUGGACAAUGGGCGAAAGCCUGAUCCAGCCAUGCCGCGUGUGUGAAGAAGGCCUUCGGGUUGUAAAGCACUUUUGUCCGGAAAGAAAACCUGGGCGCUAAUACAGUCGGGGGCUGACGGUACCGGAAGAAUAAGCACCGGCUAACUACGUG
Molecule: ribosomal RNA, 486 nt
Filed under: uncultured bacterium
Lineage: Bacteria
Description: partial 16S ribosomal RNA
Rfam family: Bacterial small subunit ribosomal RNA
Source: RNAcentral